AGGGUGGUUUUAAGCAACCGUUUGUUUCCCCUUCUAUUCAAUGAGGACGAAAUUACUAAGUGGAAUCAGAAUGAAGAGUUUUCAGCUGACCUCCCUUUCCAGGCAAGAGGUUAUAUCCAGAGAAGCUGUAGCUUGAUGGGUUAUUGCUGGAAAGACACUCAAGAAAAUGUAAAUCUGCGGCUGUCUAUUGUUUAAGCUUUCUGGAAUAUAAGCACAGAAGCAAUUGUUACUCGGGAUUGUUGUGCUGGAAAUCUAAGCUCUGCAGCAGUUGUAGUGUUUAUUUUAGCUAAUGAAAGUUGACACAGUUUAUGGGGAAUUAUUUAGUAGGGAAUAAGAUCUGUACGGCUCCUCUGUACACCUACACUUGUCAGCUCUUCCUAGCAGGUCUCAUUUCAAAACCUAUUAAAUAUAAUCAGAGUUUUCUGUACUUAAGUGAUUAAGGAUGGAUGAAUCUGUUCCAGAAAGUACGUAUCUCAAAGCUUUUCCCAACCUAUGAACCAAGCCAAACCUAAAUAUUUUUUGCAGUGCGGUUAAGCCUCUUCCCCUUUCUCCCAGUGUGGCUUUAUAUUUCUUUUUCCCUUCUCACUGCAGCCCUCCAAUAGCCUUUUAACUAUCCUGGCUUCCCCACAAAUCUCUAAAAGAUCCAUGGAUAAUUUUAUUAAAGUGCCUACAAGCUGGUCUAAACACAGUUUCUGUACUGCUAACUACAUGGUUUAGAAACUGAUAUAGUUAAAGCUGUACAACCAUAUAAUGUGGAGGCAGUUAUGCUGGUAUAAAGGUGUUAUACCAAUGUAGCUUAUUAUGGAAAUUAAGACCAGCCAUAAAUGACUUUCAUUGCUUUUGAAAACUUUACCCCCUAGUUAUUUCACUCCAACCAAUAACCCUCCAAUAAGCCCUUGUUCUUUUCCUCAGCCUUUUUCCUUCCAACAUAUUAGUUGAAACAAUA
This is a long non-coding RNA of Chelonia mydas (Green sea turtle), 946 nucleotides long. RefSeq lists it as uncharacterized. The record is from RefSeq and is a predicted model, not a curated record. The transcript has 3 exons. Lineage: Eukaryota; Metazoa; Chordata; Testudines; Cheloniidae.